GGGUUGUACUCUUGGGAGUGCGUUGGACUCCAAAUUCGAUGUAGUGAGGUUCGAAUCCUUAACGGCUCGCCA
RNAcentral lists this transfer RNA (72 nucleotides) under Saprospiraceae bacterium. Its description in RNAcentral is "tRNA-Trp". Lineage: Bacteria; Pseudomonadati; Bacteroidota; Saprospiria; Saprospirales; Saprospiraceae. The record is from RNAcentral.